Molecule: ribosomal RNA, 253 nt
Filed under: uncultured bacterium
Lineage: Bacteria
Description: partial 16S ribosomal RNA
Rfam family: Bacterial small subunit ribosomal RNA
Source: RNAcentral
UACGGAGGGUGCAAGCGUUAUCCGGAUUCACUGGGUUUAAAGGGUGCGUAGGAGGGCAGGGAAGUCAGUGGUGAAAUCUGUGGGCUUAACCCACAAACUGCCGUUGAUACUCUCUGUCUUGAAUAUGGUGGAGGUGAGCGGAAUAUGUCAUGUAGCGGUGAAAUGCUUAGAUAUGACAUAGAACACCAAUUGCGAAGGCAGCUCGCUACACCUAUAUUGACUCUGAGGCACGAAAGCGUGGGGAUCAAACAGG